GAAGUGCGAUAAGUGUCAUGACUUGCAGAUUCCCGAGAGCUGACAAAUUUCUGAAUGCAAAUGGCGGCCGCCUACAACGGCCAUGUAUUGUAGAGUGUAGUUGUUCAUACUCAUCAUCCAAGACCCAAUACUUCCGCUUCAUUGCGAUGUUGGUUCUUCUUGGGAUCUGCGCUUACCGCUCUUCUGCGUGUGAGCGUUAAAAAUCGAGAGAGGGCGCGUGUUUCCUCACAGAAACGCGUGUCCCCCUACUUCGGAUACCUCGUGUACUAGAAGUUUCCAAUCUCUCAACUCUUUAUCUCAGCCACCUCUACGAUGCAGGAGAACCCGCUGAACUUAA
This 337-nucleotide unclassified non-coding RNA is filed under the name uncultured fungus. RNAcentral describes it as "sequence contains ITS1". The stretch from base 1 to 100 matches the Rfam family "5.8S ribosomal RNA", at positions 50 to 154 of the family's 154-position model. Lineage: Eukaryota; Fungi. The record is from RNAcentral.